Equus quagga is the source of this 8139-nucleotide RNA transcript. It is a transcript of the gene named DET1 partner of COP1 E3 ubiquitin ligase, with no coding region annotated. The record is from RefSeq and is a predicted model, not a curated record. Lineage: Eukaryota; Metazoa; Chordata; Mammalia; Perissodactyla; Equidae. The transcript is spliced from 8 exons.
CCUGCGGCCGCCGGCGCCGGGUCCUGAGGCAUGGCGGGGGCGGGGCCGGGGUAGGCGCGCGCGGAGCAGGCCUGGGGGACCCUUUCCCCAGCCAUGUGAGCCCGGACCGGACAGGCAGAGAUGUGAUGAUGGAUCAUCAUGUUUCCACCAUCAAACCUCGAAGAAUCCAAAACCAAAACGUCAUUCACCGCUUGGAACGCCGGCGGAUCAGUUCAGGCAAGGUGGGCACCCACUGGCAUCAGGUCCGAGAGUUCCACCAGAAUGUCUUCCCCAACUUCACAGUCGUCAACGUUGAAAAGCCUCCUUGUUUCUUGCGUAAAUUCUCACCUGAUGGACGCUACUUUAUUGCUUUCUCCUCAGACCAGACAUCUCUCGAAAUCUAUGAGUACCAGGGCUGCCAGGCUGCCGAGGACCUACUGCAGGGCUAUGAGGGGGAGAUCUUGUCCAAUGGCAAUGACCAGCGGUCAGUCAACAUCCGCGGCCGGCUCUUUGAGCGCUUCUUUGUCCUGCUGCACAUUACCAACGUAGCGGCCAAUGGCGAGCACCUGAACCGGGAGUGCAGCCUCUUCACUGACGACUGCCGGUGUGUCAUCGUGGGCUCUGCAGCCUACCUUCCCGACGAGCCACACCCUCCUUUCUAUGAGGUCUAUCGGAACAGUGAAUCUGUGACCCCCAACCCGCGGUCCCCUCUGGAGGACUAUUCCCUCCACAUCAUUGACCUUCACACUGGCCGCUUAUGUGACACACGCACCUUCAAGUGUGAUAAAGUGGUCCUGUCACACAACCAAGGGCUGUACUUGUACAAAAACAUCCUGGCCAUCUUGUCGGUGCAGCAGCAGACCAUCCAUGUCUUCCAGGUGACUCCUGAAGGCACUUUCAUUGAUGUGAGGACCAUUGGCCGCUUCUGCUAUGAGGAUGACCUCCUCACUGUGUCAGCGGUUUUCCCUGAGGUGCAGCGGGACAGUCAGACAGGCAUGGCCAAUCCUUUCAGAGAUCCCUUCAUCAACUCCCUGAAGCACCGGCUGCUUGUCUACUUGUGGCGCCGGGCAGAACAGGAUGGCAGCGCAAUGGCCAAGAGGCGCUUCUUCCAGUAUUUUGACCAACUGCGGCAGCUGCGCAUGUGGAAGAUGCAGCUUCUGGAUGAAAACCAUCUGUUUAUCAAGUACACCAGUGAGGACGUAGUAACCCUGCGGGUCACAGACCCAUCACAGGCAUCUUUCUUUGUGGUGUAUAAUAUGGUGACAACGGAGGUGAUUGCUGUGUUUGAGAAUACAUCAGAUGAACUCUUAGAGCUCUUUGAGAACUUCUGUGACCUCUUCCGUAAUGCCACCCUGCACAGUGAAGUCCAGUUUCCCUGCUCAGCUUCCAGCAACAAUUUUGCAAGACAGAUCCAGCGCAGGUUUAAAGACACUAUUGUGAAUGCCAAGUACGGAGGGCACACCGAGGCCGUGCGCCGGCUGCUCGGCCAGCUCCCCAUCAGCGCCCAGUCUUACAGCGGCAGCCCCUACCUCGACUUGUCCCUCUUCAGCUACGAUGACAAGUGGGUGUCGGUCAUGGAGCGGCCCAAGACUUGUGGAGACCACCCCAUCAGGUUCUAUGCCCGGGACUCUGGUCUACUCAAGUUUGAGAUCCAGGCGGGCUUGCUGGGCCGCCCCAUCAACCACGCCGUGCGACGCCUUGUUGCCUUCACCUUCCAUCCUUUCGAGCCUUUUGCUAUUUCCGUGCAGAGGACUAAUGCUGAGUAUGUUGUCAACUUCCACAUGCGACACUGCUGCACGUAGGUGCCUCACCAGAGCCAGGCUAUCUGGGCUUCCAGGACUUCGCCCCCUUCAUAUCUCAGUGGACUGCCAAGCAAAAGCUCCUCACUACCAGCUGUGUGGUUCCAGACUCGUAAACCUCAGGUGGGAGAGCCGGAGAGAGGAGCGAGGGUGGCUCAGCUAAUGGAGUUUUUUAUUGUAUACGAAAAACUACUGGUUGACUGAGAGGCCUCUUGCUUUUUCCUCUGGGAAUGCCCAGCAUUAAUUAAGUCCAUUUAGUUUUUGUUUUAUUUUGCAUUUUAUUGCCAUGAAGAUGAGAGCAUUAUGCCUUUACCCACUUCCUGUCACUUCUUUGGCAUUAUGGGCUGCAGCCUGAAGCAGGAUUUGAGCACCUACUAUGAGUCCGGUAGAUGCUGUGCCACGAUGUGAAGGAUGAGGAAAGAAAUGAAAUAAAGAGAAUUAUAAUGCAAAACGGUUGCUUGAUGGGACCUGAAGACUUGGCAGAGUGGAAGGAGCCUGGAGGGUGAAGUUGCUCAGGCCUCAGUGUGAAGCCUGGCCCUGCGGCUCAUUAGCUGUGUGACUGUGGGCUGAUUUCCUAGCGUUUCUGAGGCUAAUAUGUGCUUCCCUCCCCGUUAGUCAUACAUUCCCUUGGUCGUAUCUUAGGUCUUUUCUUCACCUCUAACUACCAUCCCUGAAGUCUCAAUUUAGUACACUCCCCUCUGACCCACCUCACCUUGCUUUACUACCUCCACAGACGGUCUUUGACCUCACUGAAGCCUCCACCCCCUGCCCAAUCUGGACCAGUAGGGAAGUUAAACUGCUCCAGCUGAAACACCCCACAACGCAGUGGCUUGACCAACAUAGCAGUUUCUCUCUCAGGGAACAGCACAGGGCAGAUGUGCACAGUCAGUGAGUGCUUCUGCCACACACAGCCCUUCAGGGACCCGAGUCCUGUGGCAUCCUCCUGGAUUGAGCUGGGGAGAGGGUGGUGGAAGGGUGUGGAGGAGGCUCUGCCUGGUCUUAAUGCCCCUGUCCAUUAGGGGCACACAUCGCUGCCGCUCAUGUUGGAGGGAUCGUAAUCACUUGGCCACUUAGAACAAACUAGAGAACCUGGGAAAUGUGUGCCUGGCCUGCCAGGUGCCAGGAGUCCUCUCGUGUUCACAUGCGGGGGAAUGAGUUUGGUGGACAGCUGGCUGUCGCCUCCCCUCAGGUCCUCUCCUCUUUCCUUAUUCAGCCCGGGUUGUAUAUCGUCUAUCGCUGUAGUCAGUGUGUCGCAAUUGCCCUUAACUUCCUUGUUGCUCCACCUCCUCCAUGCUAAUUUAGAAAAACUGCAACUCUACACGUGUCUGUGUCUGAACAGCUGGAAAUUGCUGCAGAAAACCCACGUCUGUUCUUCAGUUCAGGACCACAAGCCUAAAGUGGACACUCAAGACUGCUGGGCAAUCCUCAUAUCCUUUCCUUGUUUGUUUCCUUUCCCAUUCCCUGAACUUGCUGUUUUACACUUUUACCUCCCUUCAAAACCCCUCCUCCCAUUUCUCACCCAUCACCUGCCACCUGCUUCGUGGCAGAAGUGAAACCAUCGGGUGGGAAUCCCCUCACCUUCCCCCAUCAGCCACAUGACUGCAUCUGUGCUCCUUCUCUGCCCUUCUGAAUGAGAUGUCUCUGCUUCUAUAAAAGGCCAGCUUCUCCACCUGUUCACUGAAGCCUGUGUCUUUCUCGCUUCUUGCGGUCUUUGCUUCUGUGAUUAUUUUCUCUCCUACAUCAUCUUUCUUUUGAUGGGCCAUUUCCAUUGGCAUAUCGAUAAGCUCUGUGAUCUUCUUUCUUUAAAAACUGCUUUGACUCCAAUUUCCCCUUGAGUUACUGCCCAUUUCUCUGCUGUUCUUCACAGAAAAACUUCUUGAAAGACUUGUCUAAAUUAAAUGUUUUCACUUCCCCAAAUCCACUCCAGAUAGGUUUCUGUCCCCAUCACUUCACUGAAACUGCAGCUGUCUAGAUCACCAGUGAGUCCUUGUUGCCAAUACAGUGCUCACCUCUUGUCCCUCUUACUUAGCCUCCCAACAUUGGAUGUAACUGAUUUCUCUAUAUAUCAAGAAACACUUGCUUCUCCUGAUUUCCAGGACAGUGCAUGUUUCUGGUUUUCUUCCUCCUUAGUGAUUGUUACUUCUUGGUUUCCUUUGCUGGCUUCUUCUCCUCUACUCUACCUUUCUGUGUUGGAGUGCCCCAGCCCUCAGCCUUGGAUCCUCACCUCUUUUUCUCUAUAUAUUCUCUCUUUAGUUAUUUCAUCCAUUCCCCUGGUUUUAGAUCCUAGCUAUAUGCUGAUGUUUCUCAAAGUUAUAACUUCAGCCCUGACCCCUUCCUUGAGCUCCAAAUUCAUCUAUCCCAUGGCUUACAUGGCGUCUUUGUUUGGGUAUCUCAUAGGCAUUUUGAAACUAGCGUGUUCAAAACAUUGCUCCUGAUUCCCACCCCCACCUCCAACCUGUUUUUCCUCUGAGAUUUCCCAUAUGGCUUCUGGAUCUACCUGUUUACUUGAGCCAAAAACUUAGUAAUUAUUCUUUCUCUUUUUUUCUGUCCCCCUCCUUUCCUUCCACCACCCACAUAUCUGAUUUUGCUCUGAGGAUGUGUCCUGAGCAGUCUGAACCAAUCACAAUAGCCUAUACUCCUUGCUUGUGACUAGAACUAGAAGGGAUUAGUUUAGGUAUAUCAUGUGACUUAAUUCAGGUCAAUGAUACUAUGAGGUAAAGGUUUCUGGGGCUUCCAGGGGAACAUUUCCCUUUUGAAAAUGUCAGUCAGGAAACAUGUAGCUCACAUUUCCACUUUCCAGCACCCUAUGAUCACACUCAAAAAGAAUCAGCCUUAGGAUGAAGCUGACCUUCUGGAUGGCAGAAGGAAGAGGAAAGAACCUGGAUUGUAUAUGACGUAGUUGGUUGACUAGAUCACACAAUGCUGAAACCCACCCUGCACCUGGAUUUCCAGUUCUGUGAGACCGUAUCCUUACUAUUUAAGCCACUUUGAAUUGGAUUAUCUAUUUCUUGCAGUUGAAAGCAAAUUUAUAGAUGCAAAGAGAAAGGCAGGUCCCCUGUGGAGAGUCGUGAAAUUCCUGAUGGCUGGGAACCUUCUUAGAUUCAGUUCCAGUUUCCAUGAGACCCUAUGAUUCCUAUUCUUGGAUUUCUAUAAGAUUCCUGGCUCUCCUAUAGCCCUCGCAGCAUACCUGAGCUGGCCUGACAGUUUCUUGUAACUAAAAGGAUAUAACUAAAAUGGGAGGUAAAAGAACUCAGCCCAUUGAGUACUUGACCCAUGUUACUUUCUCAACCCCUAUGUGUUUGUUUAUAUUAACUUUGUUUCUAAAGGAUUUAAGGCUUCUCUCAGUAAAUCUAGAGUCUUCUCUCCACAAAUGUCCAGUGAAUCUCAAGAAUCUUUGGAAAAACAAGUUCUUUGGAACCAAAAUGUUUAAGAAAAAUAGGGACUUCAGGGGAUCUAUCUUUCCGAUCUAAAUUCUUUCCUGAGCCUGUCUCCUCACCUCCCUCCUCUGCAGGAAGCUGACAUGUCAGCCAUCCGCGGGAAGCUGCUCUGGACCUUUGAGAGAAAGGCUCCAUUUAGAUUUAGCAAAACCCUUUCAUUCAGAGUCCUUGCAGAGAAGCACAGCAUAAAUGAGUGGGAAACCAGCUGCCAUGUCGUAAAGACGCUCAGAUGACCUUCUGGAGAGACCUGUUUAGUGAGGAACUGAGGCUUCCUGCCAAUGGCCAUGUGAGUGAGAGUUUGGAAUGGGAUCUUCCAGGCCUGCCCAGGAUCACUGCAGCCUCAUGAGAAGCCCUGAGGGAGGACCACCCAGGCAAGCCGCGCCCAGAUUCUCGACUCUCAGAAAUUGCGUAAGAUAAAUAUUUUAAGCAUCUGAGUUUGAGGGUAAUUUGUUAUGUAUCGAUAUGUAUUUAACAUUCACAUAAAGAAGGCAUGUUUUGCAAUAUGACACCUUAUAUUUGAAAAAUGCAGUAUUAUCCCCAUUUUAUAAAUAAGGAAACUGACUUCCGAGACAUUAAGCGAUUCACUCAAAGUUUCCUUACUAGUUAACGGCAGGUAAAACUUUAGUCCAGCCUGUGUCAGAAUCCAUUCAAAUCCUGAAUUUGUAUAGAUCUAAACUGGUAUUUUUACUGUUUACCAGAAACAUUAAGAGGAAAUUCUGAUGUUCUUGCGCUUGUGCCUGUAUCUGCCUCUGCCUGAUAGGGCGAUGGCCCAACUAAGGUGUCUUGUUAAAGGUUGAUGAUAUAUAUCUCUCACUGUUCUCAACCCUAGUACGUUAGUUGGCUUAUUUAUUCAUUCAUGUAUUAAACACUUAUUGAGGACCUACAAAGUGCCAGCAACUAGGAAUAUAAGAAUGUGUAAGUCAUAGCCCCAAUGCUGAAUUUCUAGUCUGUGAUGCCUCUGAGUACCUGUCUCCCUCUCUUGAAAGAAAGAUGCCUUGCUGUCUCUCUGGCUCAGCCUUCCCACCAUCACUAAAGCUGCCAGUUAACCAGUCUUUGAGUGUGGCUUCAGGAAGACAGAGCUGCGUGUUGGACUGCUUCUUUGUGGAGCCCACUGCUUCUCCAUGUAACGUUUCAGCACUCUCUGCAGAGAGCACUUACAGCGCCCUGGAGCAGCUGUCCGAAACCGCGUUCGCUCUGGCGGCGGAAGCCGGUUCCAGCUCUUCUCCAUUCCAUUCGCUUCCUGAGACCAGAGAUCUGGUCUCCAGCCACUGGUUCUCUUCCAGGCUUAGAAAUCAACUUUCCGGGAGUGGAAGAAGAGACUGUCUCUUAGCUUUAAUUAAUUGUUGAAAGAAUAGAGAGGAGUCUAUAGUUCUAGAAGGAAAAAAGGGAGGAAUGGAAAUUUUCUGGACAGGGGACAAAGAAGUAAAAGAAAGAUAAUUUUCCAACUCACUCUCUUCACCCUAGUCUUUAAAAGGUUUUGUUGGGUGUUAUGAGGUUUGAAAUCUAUCUUUAGGGAGGGAUGUGUUACUCAAAAGAAAUUGCCUCUAGAUUGUUUUCCCAAGUCAGUCAUUUAAAAAAUAUUUUAAUGUCAUUCUGCUUAAAUUUUUUAAACAGUGAAGUUUACCUGCAAAGUACUUCUCAACUCAGGGUAGGAUAGGGGUAAAUUUGAGGUAGUAAGUGUGUUAGAAUCUUGAGGUAGGUUUCCUUUGAAAAAAACAAGUAGGUAUCAUUUUUAUUGGGAAAAUGAAAAAAUGCGUAAGUUUUCACAUUACAAACUGAGGAGAGUUUGAAAAAAAAUCUGAUGAGGUUAUGCAGAAGACACAGGGAUUCAUGAUUGGGACACAUCCCUUCAAAACCUUGGAGGAACAGGAGAUUUUCCUGGUUAUCAAAUAGGGGGAUGAGUUUUAGAAGGCUGAAAAGCAUUUAGAAGAAUGUUGCGUUUCCUAAAAAGGCAGAAUGAGGAAGCUGGUAGACAAUUCCAGAACAUUCUAUGGGUCUCAUGAAGAGAAGAUUCAGGGAAGGGCAGGCAGCAAGUCCAAGAUCAGGAAAGAUGAGAGACACAAAAUGGACCUGUAACUGCAAAGGUUCCAUUGUCUUCUGAGUUUCUGUUUAUAAUUUUGCAGUGAGUAAUUUUAAGAAGGAAAAAAUCCCCAUAGAACUGAACACAUGCAGAUGAAAACUUAUGAAUGGCAAAAAGAUAUCAAAACAAAAUCAAAUAACACAUGUAUCAAAGGAAUGAUUUCCUUAGUAGAAAACAUUUUUAAAAUUAUAUAUAAUUUUGAUAUUUUUGUUCAUCAAAAGAUGAACAACCCCAAAGAAAAAAUGGGCAAAGAAUGUUAUUAGCAGGAUGUUCAAAGAAAAAAUAAAUACACAUGGUCAACAACUAUAGGAAACAUGCUUAUAAGAUUUACUUUUCACCCAUCAGAUUAGCUAAGGUUAAAAAUGUUCAUUGACCCAGGGUUGUCAAGAAUGUGGGGUGCUCUCACCCACUGUAGGUGGGAGAGUGAGUUAUCAGAUUUCUUGAAAGACAAACAGCAAUGUCUUAGUAAAUAUGCAUAUCUUUUAACCCAGUUAAAUUCUAUGUAUCAAGGCAAAACAUUUGCGUAUGUGAGCAAAGCAUGUGUACGAGGCUAUUUCACUGCAGCUUUUUGAUUAUGAAAAAGUGGAAACUACUAAAUGUGCAUCAAUAGAGGACUAAAUAAAUUAUAAAUGUCCACUAAAUGGGCUCUGAUAUAACUGUUGAAAAUAACGCGCCAGAUCCAUAUGUAUUGAUUUGGAAAACUCUCUGAGACAGACUAAUUGAACAACUGUUUAGUGGGAUGCUAUAUUUUGUAAAAAACUAAACUGAAAUCUAUACUGAAGUUGAAGUCAAUAUAGAUGUAAAUACUUACUCGCUCGUAGCGUCAGAGAACACUUUGAAAGCA